Molecule: long non-coding RNA, 3348 nt
Filed under: Medicago truncatula (barrel medic)
Lineage: Eukaryota; Viridiplantae; Streptophyta; Magnoliopsida; Fabales; Fabaceae
Description: long non-coding RNA (MTRU_LNC007206)
Source: RNAcentral
UAACAUCAUAAAAGGAAAGUAACAAAGUUUCCAAGAUUCAACUCAAACUGCAAUUAAAAAUUAAAUCACCAACCCCACCCUAGUGUUACAAUAUCAGAGCUCGUAGCGACUACAACUUAUUCAACUACUAAACAAAAAAACCAAACGGAAGGCAUCCCAUCAUCUCCAUCCUCUAAAACGUCCCACAACUACUCCUUGUCAACCUGAGUAUCUGUACUCAGGGUACAAUCACCGUUCAGAAAACAACACAACAAAAUAAAGGGUAAGAAAUCCUGCCAUAACAAAAUAAUAGGGAAAAGCAUGCACAUUAAAUAAAUAUCAAAAGAAUACAUUCUCCACUAUCUCAUCAUUCUCAAUAGUUACUAUGUAUAAUCUCUUCAUUUUACAUGUCACAGCAACACAUCAUAUUCACACUCAAACACCCAAUACAACAUCAUCAUAUAUAUGCAUAUGGACUCUCCUAAUGACGUAUAUGAUUGUGGUACCACACCUAUCGUCAUAAUUUUCCAGAGCUAUAUUACUGGACUUUCAUCGUCAUAAUUUGCCAGAGAUAUGUUACUGAACUUUCAUCGUCAUUUCGUCAUCAUGAUUCCUAAACACGACUCUAUAUGCAUGCAUGAGACAGACUCUUCAAGUAUUAAAAGAUCAUAACAUCAUCAACAAAUUAGAAUCAUAAAUUCGGACUCUUCCUAUUAUGCACAACAUCAAGACAAAUACAUCAUCGUCAUUCACAUCAUCAUUAUAAGUAAACAUCGUCAUUCUCAUCAUCAAUGUAUAUUAGACACCAUCAUAUAAGUCAUCAUCAUAAUUAUACGUCAUCAUUGUCAUAGUCAAUAUAUAUAUAUACACACACCACCCUCAUCAUCAUCAUAGGUAAACAUCAUUACUCUCAUCAUCAUACUGAUAUAGUUAUCGUCAUCAUCAUCAUCACUAACAUAUAAACAUUAUCAUUUCUCAUCGUAUUUAUUUAAUUACAUAUAUAUAAUAUCUUCGUCAUCACUCUUCGUCACAUUAUGGAUUCCUCAUUAUUCAUCUCUAUCAACCGUUUAUAUCACCAUUGCAUCUCUUCACUAAUCCAACCCUUAUGCGUAAUUCAAUUCUACGUCAGCUUCCCUAUAUUUUAUUUUCGUAUUCAUUUUACGAACAUACAUUAUUCUCUCGUCUAUUCUAGGCUCUAUAAACUUUAUUCCUAAUAUCAUACCCUAUUCCUCAUUCUUGGUCUCAAGUUGUUUUCUUAUUCGCUAUCAUUACAUGCAAAGUCUCCACUCUAUAUAUCUAGGUUUUUCCUCACAAUUGUUAUUAACUGUUUCCUACUUAUUCUCCUCAAUAAAACGACUUUAUAUCUUAUUAGUUGUUCUCACGUUCGUCGUCAUCUAUACAUCGUCCGUCCCCUAAUCUUAACUUCAUUUUAAUUUUAAAGUUAUUAUCUAACCUAAUACUUCAUUAUAAUUUGAGGUUUCAUUCUCUUAAUACCGGUCGUUAUUAUAUUCGUCACUCAUUACAACUACUACCUCUUAUCCUCUUUCCUAUGCAUCUUGAUCCCUGCUAAUCGAUCCUCUUCAUAUUCAUCGUUAUCAUCAUUCCUGUUAUGUUUUCAGUCCUUAAUAUACAACUCCUUACCUUCCCUUACAUUUCUUCUUAACGAUCUUCUCAUCGUUUAUGAUCAUAUUCUUUAUUCAUUUUUUACACCUUAUACGUUACUAUCUAACACUCAUCUUAAUUUCUUUAACUACCUUGGUUCAUUCGCUCUUUCACUCAACGGUAUUCUUAGACUCAUUAUUGGUUUAAGGAGAUCAUAUUUCAACUCAUUAGUUAUUCAGAAAAGAACCUACUUCACAUCCCAUAUUAUCAUUGUCUUAUACCCUUUUUACUAAAUCGUGUGUUUUUAGUCUCACCAUAUACCCACACUAUUUGCUCUAGUAAUUUCUCGUCUUAUUACCCUUAAUCAACUUGAUAUCCUUUCUCAAUGAUAUUAGCAUCCCCUAAAUUACCCAAUGCUUUAACUCCUACUCAUAACAUAACCCACUUCAUCAUUUACUCGUCACCCAAAACAAGACAUGUCAUCGUCAUUACUCGUCAUUCACAAAACAUCAUUAAUUAUGAUAUCAUUCAUCCUCACCAUUCAACAAUUAUUAUCUGAACAUAGAUCCCCAUCACACGACAAUAAGUUCUCAGCAUUAAUCAACAUCUUAUACGGGCAUAUGUACACAUCAUAUUCCUUCGUUACUCAUUACUGCAUUUUAGAAUCUACUCUCGUCAUUCGUUCUCUCCAUUACCACGUCUUUCACCCUAGUAGUAUACCCCGUUAUCCAUUCUAAUUUAAGUAUUAACCUCUCAAUUAAUAUUCCUCAUAGCGUCUACCGUAUUUAUCUUUCGCUUUCUAUUUUCAAGCCAUCUUGACACAAUUAGAUUCUCAUAGGUUACUAUCCUCGGUUUCUAAUUACGCUUAAACCCACUCCUUCAUUAAGUUAUAUAGUUUAGGACCCUUACUCUUACCUUUCUCUUUAACAACCUUCUUAAACUCUAUUAUUUUCUAGGACGUUUUAAGGCUCAUUGAACAGAUUAUGAUGAAGUUUCACAAAAAACGAAGCAUGACCCUAGUACGGUAAUUUGACCAUAACUCAAGUUGUAUAGGUCUGGUUGAGGUGAAACCAAAGCCAUCGGAAUGGAAAAUGGUUACAAAUAAAAGUUUUUGUUUGUUAAGUUGUGCUGACAAAAUCAGGGGCCGAAUUUACAAAAUCGGGGCCCGAUUUUUGUCGAAUCAAAACACUAAGAAAGGAGUUUUUCCCCAAUUAAUCACUUUUGAAUCACUUAACUCAAUCCCUACACACCCAAAUUGUCCUUAAUCAUCACUCUAGGUUUACCCUACUAUUUGAGUGUUAAUUCCCUCUCAAAGUAUCCAAUUUUACACUAUUUCAGGGUCAAGUUAUGAACUCUAAUCUCUAAACUAGGUUCCCUUUAUAUUACUCUUUCAACAACAAUUCUACAUUCAUUCAUCAUAAUUUUUCAGUGGAACUCUUCCUCAUAACAGCAAUCAUAACUUAAGAAUUAAUUAACCUCAACAACGUCCUCAUCACCAUCAUAACAACACUCAUACUCUAACCCCUUUACAACCCUACAGAAAAAUAUUAAACCCUAGAGAUGAAGAGAUUCUCCCCCUUACCUCGAUUUCUUCUGAAAUUUCCAGCUUGGCUUGAUCCCGUCGCAACUAGGGUUUCUCUCCUAUGCUCCUUUUUUUCUUUCUUUUUUCACGUUCAACAAAAGUGACUCUUCUAACUUCUAAUGUUUCUAUUUAUACGUUGGUCAAUCACAUGUUAUAACUUUCUUCUCCUUUAUUCACUAUACUUU